RNAcentral lists this ribosomal RNA (163 nucleotides) under Peristrophe brassii. RNAcentral describes it as "5.8S ribosomal RNA". The record is from RNAcentral. Lineage: Eukaryota; Viridiplantae; Streptophyta; Magnoliopsida; Lamiales; Acanthaceae.
NNNCCCGUGAUCAUCGAGUUUUUGAACGCAAGUUGCGCCCGAAGCCUUCCGGCCGAGGGCACGCCUGCCUGGGCGUCACGCAUCGCGUCGCCCCCUCCCGCCGCCCUCGCUGGCGGGGGGGCGGAGAAUGGCCCCCCGUGCGCCCCCGUCGCGCGGCCGGCCC